GCGAAAAGGGAAGGGGGGAACGGGAUCUGGGGGUCCCAUGGCAAAAGCAGGAGGAAAUAAGGGUGGAGGUGGGGGGACAGGGACAGAAAGACGUAUCGGCCCUCGGAGAGAAGAAAACAACGCGUGAUCACCUCUAAUCCUUUGAAAAAUGUCCCGAACAGCAAGUGGAUGGGAAAGGAGCCUCGACAACAUAAACCUCAUUGACUUAAUGGGUCGGUUUUGGAUUUCGCCUUCGAAAUGUUCGGCGAGUGGCAGCGUUGUGUUUCUGCCCCGCCGGUUCCCAGCCUUCAACCCCGGUUCUCAUCCCGACGAGAAGCGGCUCCCAAAAACCCGCUGUUGGUUUUGUUUUGUUGCGCUGUUUGUUUCCUCUAGAACCUCGUACUUCUAGAAAAAAAAUAUUAAAUUUUACUUUUGAUUGGG
This is a long non-coding RNA of Onychostruthus taczanowskii (white-rumped snowfinch), 420 nucleotides long. RefSeq lists it as uncharacterized. The transcript is spliced from 2 exons. The record is from RefSeq and is a predicted model, not a curated record. NCBI's taxonomy places the organism in Eukaryota, Metazoa, Chordata, Aves, Passeriformes, Passeridae.